This 706-nucleotide ribosomal RNA is filed under the name uncultured bacterium. Its description in RNAcentral is "bacterial SSU rRNA". It matches the Rfam family "Bacterial small subunit ribosomal RNA", at positions 57 to 755 of the family's 1533-position model. The record is from RNAcentral.
GCAGUCGACGGUAACGGAAGCAGCUUGCUGCUUCGCUGACGAGUGGCGGACGGGUGAGUAAUGUCUGGGAAACUGCCUGAUGGAGGGGGAUAACUACUGGAAACGGUAGCUAAUACCGCAUAAUGUCGCAAGACCAAAGAGGGGGACCUUCGGGCCUCUUGCCAUCGGAUGCGCCCAGAUGGGAUUAGCUUGUUGGUGGGGUAACGGCUCACCAAGGCGACGAUCCCUAGCUGGUCUGAGAGGAUGACCAGCCACACUGGAACUGAGACACGGUCCAGACUCCUACGGGAGGCAGCAGUGGGGAAUAUUGCACAAUGGGCGCAAGCCUGAUGCAGCCAUGCCGCGUGUAUGAAGAAGGCCUUCGGGUUGUAAAGUACUUUCAGCGGGGAGGAAGGGAGUAAAGUUAAUACCUUUGCUCAUUGACGUUACCCGCAGAAGAAGCACCGGCUAACUCCGUGCCAGCAGCCGCGGUAAUACGGAGGGUGCAAGCGUUAAUCGGAAUUACUGGGCGUAAAGCGCACGCAGGCGGUUUGUUAAGUCAGAUGUGAAAUCCCCGGGCUCAACCUGGGAACUGCAUCUGAUACUGGCAAGCUUGAGUCUCGUAGAGGGGGGUAGAAUUCCAGGUGUAGCGGUGAAAUGCGUAGAGAUCUGGAGGAAUACCGGUGGCGAAGGCGGCCCCCUGGACGAAGACUGACCCUCAGGUGCG